This is a small nuclear RNA of Eublepharis macularius, 103 nucleotides long. The record is from RefSeq and is a predicted model, not a curated record. NCBI's taxonomy places the organism in Eukaryota, Metazoa, Chordata, Lepidosauria, Squamata, Eublepharidae.
UUCUCCGGCCGUGAAAGCCUUCGACAAUACAUCAAUACAGAGAAGAUUAGUAUGGCCCCUGUGCAAGUUUGACCUGGUCAGAUCUCAGAAGCUAAGCAUGGUU